GGACUGUAGCUCAGUGGUAGAGCGCUGGUCUCGCAAAUGUGAGGCACUAGGCUCGAUCCUCAGCACCA
RNAcentral lists this transfer RNA (68 nucleotides) under Marmota monax (woodchuck). RNAcentral's name for it is "tRNA.Ala". Lineage: Eukaryota; Metazoa; Chordata; Mammalia; Rodentia; Sciuridae. The record is from RNAcentral.